RNAcentral lists this unclassified non-coding RNA (241 nucleotides) under uncultured fungus. Its description in RNAcentral is "sequence contains ITS1, 5.8S rRNA gene". The stretch from base 193 to 241 matches the Rfam family "5.8S ribosomal RNA", at positions 1 to 49 of the family's 154-position model. The record is from RNAcentral. Lineage: Eukaryota; Fungi.
UUUCCGUUGGUGAACCAGCGGAAGGAUCAUUACAGAGAUCAUGCCCUCACGGGUAGACCUCCCACCCUGUGUUAUUUACUCUUGUUGCUUUGGCAGGCCGCCUUCGGGCUCCCGGCUUCGGCUGGGGUGCGCCUGCCAGAGGACCCCAACUCUUUUGUUUAUGUGUCGUCUGAGUACUAUAUAAUAAGUUAAAACUUUCAACAACGGAUCUCUUGGUUCUGGCAUCGAUGAAGAACGCAGC